Molecule: long non-coding RNA, 2963 nt
Filed under: Homo sapiens (human)
Lineage: Eukaryota; Metazoa; Chordata; Mammalia; Primates; Hominidae
Description: HSALNT0332764
Source: RNAcentral
UGUCAAAAAUAAGGACAGACAUUUGAAAGCCAAAUAAUGACUAGGUAGAAGAGACUGAAAUCUCAAACUCGGGGCACAGUCACAGCCCAAUAGAAAAUUAAUAAACUAGAAGGCAGGAUGAGUAAAUCUGCCAUAAUGCAGCAUAGAAGAACAAAGAAAGGAAAUACAAGAGAGCAUAAAAGGUACGAAAGAUGCAGAAGCGUAGCAUCUGGUCACAUUUCCCCGAAGCCAAGAAGGGGAGAUAACUCUAUUCAAAGAAGCUGAUGAGUUUCCCAAAUCGAUGAAAGACCUCAGGACCCAGAUUUAAAAAGCAAAACAUUCCAAGCAAGAUCAAAGCAAUCUUCACCUACACCAAUUGCUUUGAAGUUGAAGAACAUCAAAAGACAAAGGCUCUCUAAAAGGCAGCCAGAGAGAGAGGGCAGGCUAAGAAAGAGAAGGAAAUAAUUAGGAUGACAGGCAACUCAUGAACAACAAUAAUAAAAGCCAGAAGACUGCGGAGUAAGUUCAAAGAGGAGAGAGAAAUGUCAUCUCUAAAAUGGUGUAACAUUAGGUAUCGUUUAAGAUCCAGGAGAAAAGCAGAGACCAAGAAGAAACACGUCAUUAUGAGCCUGCUCUCGCUAGAGGCAUAGUGAAGGAAGGGCUGAGUGCAAGAAAGCAUGUUAAGCAAAGAGACGUGUGAGUGUGUGAGUUAAUGUAAAACCUGGAAUGGAACAGUCAUAACGAGGAGUCACCAAGGCCAAAUUACCCUCCUGAACAAAGACACGGGGGUGGAGAGGAGGGUGCUUAGAGCCACAGCGACGUGAGAUUGCGGCUUCAUCUGGGAGGAAAGUGAGUCUCAUUAUCCUCAGGCUCAGAAAAUCACUAAAGUUCAGCACUUGAAUGAGAGGGCACUGGGUCCACGCUGGAGCAUCCCAGAGCUGAUCAAUCCCUCUGGAAGCAGGGACACCCCUGGCUCCAUAGGAUUCCAUUUUGCUGAACUACUGGUUCAGAAACACAAGAGCCUGACAUCUAUGGGAACACAGAGCCAGAAAACCCAGGCACAGACCAGGACAUCUCCGAGGUGAUUUAUUAAUAAGUAACUGCAGGAUAUCCUGACACUCAGCAAUAAAAUCAAAGCAAUAAAAAUGCUUUUCUAAGAAAAUGGCAGUCAUGUCAGGCAGAAGAUCAAACCUGGGCUAGGGCCUUACAAAACAUCUAAUUAUAUCCUAACGGCAUGGAGAGGCCUGUGGGGCAUGUGGUGGGGCCCAGGCCCCCUCUGCUGCUCAGCCCUCCCGGCACCGCCUUCAGUCCUCAAGCCUGAGAGCCUCUGUGCUUGGGGGGCCACCUGGCCUCAGCACCAUCCAAGUGGGCACAUAUGUGCCUUCACCCCUUCCUCUGAUGAUUCUCUGGAUAAAACUUUCCAUGGCCUUGUCUUAAUUAAGAAAUGAUGCUUCUGAAAGUGAAAUUCCAACUGCUAUUUCUGAUUUAGUGGAAUGAGUCCAAAACACCAUGUUCGCUGUAGAGUUUUUAAAAUUUUGAUUGAUUCUCCUAAAUUAAUACUAAUCCUUGGAGAUGAAGAUUCCUCCCUAAGAAAGGUGCUGUGGCUCAUCAGGCUGGGAAGUCUGAGCCGGCUCUGCACAGACGUGCGAUGAGAUGCCCGAUUCCCGUGUGUGGCUGUCUCUCAGCUCUAGCUCAAGAGAAAGCUAAAAAGCCCAGGGCCGCCAAUUUUCUUCUUCAAAGCUUUCAAAACCAUAUAUUGGCGACAUGUGCCUGAUUUUUACCUUAAAAAAAUGAGCCCAGCAUUUUCUUGAAACUUAAUCUUUGAGAUACUCAAAACCACAAAAAUUUAACCACUUCAUAUUUCCUUGCAGGUAUUUCCAGCAGGUAUCUGCUAGACGCGUUCUCUCUGCCAGCCCGCUGACUUGCUAGCUGUGGAGCAACUGCAGUACGUGCCCGUCCCUGUCACCAGGGGCUGGCCAUCAACAGAAGCUGCUCCUUCCAAGCCGGCCACGCGUCUACUACUUCAUCAUCCUCUCGGGGGUGCAUCCACGGCUCUCCCUACAAUGGGAGCUUCCUGAGAGGCACUUUCAUUUCUCUGUGCUUCCUCUGGGCUCACCAGCAAGUGCUAAACUGAAGGAAGAUAGAGUUAAAUUGUUUAGCAAUCAGAGUUUCUAUGACUGUCCAUCAUCACUGCAUCUCUUCUAUGACAUGAGACAUUGGUGCGAUGUGUCAUUAUGUUCAAAUGUGUGGGUCGGCCAGGGUGUAUCUGUAUGGACUGAAUGUGUCCCCAUAAAAUUUGUAUGUUGAAGCCCUAACCCCCAAUAUGAGGAUAUUUGGAGCUGGGGCCUUUGGGAGGUAAUUAAGUUAGAUGAGGUCAGAUGGACAUGGCCCCUGUGGUUGAGAUUAGCCCUAAUACCAAGAGAUAGCAGAGAGCUCCACCCUACUGUUGGCCACGUGCACACAUAGGGAGAAGGGGGCCGUCUAUAAGCAAGGAAGAGAGCCCUCAUCAGAAACCGAUCGCGCCAGCAUGCUGAUCUUGGAUCUGAGGCCUCCAGAACUGAGGGAAAAUAAAUGUCUGCUGUUGAAGUCACCCAGUCCAUAUUGUUUUGUUAUGGCAGCUGGGGUAAGACAGUGUCCUUCUCGGUUUCUACCCUUAACAGGAUAAAAAUCCCUGGAGCAAACCCUCUCCUUCCUCCCAAAGGAGCCAUGGGAAGCCACUCUCUACAAUUUGCAGCAAACACGGAAGCACCAGAAUCCUGCACGUAUGCUCGGAGGAAACGCACAGAGGACAAAUGCAGGGUCGCAGGAUACAAGAAUGGCAAAGGCUGACUCCAGAGAACGUUGUUAAGCUUCAAAUCUAUACUGUGCAUUGGAAGGUAAACAAGCAUCAUCCACACAACUAACUGACUGCAUUCACCAGCACACUCUGAAGUCUUCAACUACUGCUAUUAAUCUAUUUUUCUCAACAUUAUUUUCUUUCCUCA